RNAcentral lists this ribosomal RNA (304 nucleotides) under Amplirhagada alta. RNAcentral describes it as "partial 16S ribosomal RNA". Lineage: Eukaryota; Metazoa; Mollusca; Gastropoda; Stylommatophora; Camaenidae. The record is from RNAcentral.
AAAUCUCUAUUAAUGAUANACUAGUGAAUUUAUUAAGGGGGUGCAAAAUCCCCNCCGGUAAAUAAUAGACGAGAAGACCCUAGAAANUUUGUAAGAUAUGUUAAAANUCACUUUUUGUUGGGGCAACAUCGUAGCAUUUAACCUACAGUANACAACACGACANUGUUCUAGUAAGAUAAAAUUACUCUAGGGAUAACAGCGUAAUNUUUCAAGAGUUUGCGACCUCGAUGUUGGACUAGGAAGCUCACGCUUAGAAGGCAAAUAGCUAUGCUCUGUUCGAGCNAAAAGAUCCUACGUGAUCUGA